This 260-nucleotide ribosomal RNA is filed under the name uncultured archaeon. RNAcentral's name for it is "partial 16S ribosomal RNA". It matches the Rfam family "Archaeal small subunit ribosomal RNA", at positions 748 to 1009 of the family's 1478-position model. The record is from RNAcentral.
CAGCCCUAAACGAUGCGCGUUAGGUGUAUCGGUGACCACGAGUCACCGAGGUGCCGAAGGGAAACCGUGAAACGUGCCGCCUGGGAAGUACGGUCGCAAGGCUGAAACUUAAAGGAAUUGGCGGGUAGCACCACAACGGGUGGAGCCUGCGGUUUAAUUGGAUUCAACGCCGGAAAUCUUACCGGGACCGACAGCAACAUGAAGGCCAGGCUGAAGACUUUGCCGGAUUAGCUGAGAGGAGGUGCAUGGCGUAGUCGUGU